RNAcentral lists this ribosomal RNA (503 nucleotides) under uncultured bacterium. RNAcentral's name for it is "partial 16S ribosomal RNA". It matches the Rfam family "Bacterial small subunit ribosomal RNA", at positions 28 to 523 of the family's 1533-position model. The record is from RNAcentral.
GAUGAACGCUAGCGGCAGGCCUAACACAUGCAAGUCGAGGGGUAGCAGGAUUAAGCUUGCUUAAUUGCUGACGAUCGGCGCACGGGUGCGUAACGCGAAUGCAACCUACCUUAUACUGGGGUAUAGCCCGGAGAAAUUCGGAUUAAUCCCCCAUAGUACUAAUGAAUCGCAUGGUUUAUUAGUUAAAGCAUUGCGGUAUAAGAUGGGCAUGCGUCCUAUUAGCUAGAUGGUGAGGUAACGGCUCACCAUGGCUACGAUAGGUAGGGGGCCUGAGAGGGUGGUCCCCCACACUGGUACUGAGACACGGACCAGACUCCUACGGGAGGCAGCAGUGAGGAAUAUUGGUCAAUGGGCGCAAGCCUGAACCAGCCAUGCCGCGUGCAGGAAGAAUGCCCUAUGGGUUGUAAACUGCUUUUAUUUGGGAAUAAACCUCUUUACGUGUAGAGAGCUGAAGGUACCAAAUGAAUAAGCACCGGCUAACUCCGUGCCAGCCGCCGCAGUAA